GACGGAGGAUGCAAGUGUUAUCCGGAAUCACUGGGCGUAAAGCGUCUGUAGGUGGUUUAAAAAGUCUACUGUUAAAAAUUGAAGCUUAACUUCAAAGAUGCCGUAGAAACUUUUAAACUUGAGGAUGGUAGGGGUAGAGGGAAUUUCCAGUGGAGCGGUGAAAUGCGUAGAUCUAGGAAAGACCACCAAUGGCGAAGGCACUCUACUGGGCCAUUACUGACACUAAGAGACGAAAGCUAGGGGAGCAAAUGGG
This 253-nucleotide ribosomal RNA is filed under the name uncultured bacterium. RNAcentral's name for it is "partial 16S ribosomal RNA". It matches the Rfam family "Bacterial small subunit ribosomal RNA", at positions 524 to 776 of the family's 1533-position model. The record is from RNAcentral.